This 301-nucleotide ribosomal RNA is filed under the name uncultured bacterium. RNAcentral describes it as "partial 16S ribosomal RNA". It matches the Rfam family "Bacterial small subunit ribosomal RNA", at positions 509 to 807 of the family's 1533-position model. The record is from RNAcentral.
CAGUCGCCGCGGUAAUACGAAGGGUGCAAGCGUUACUCGGAAUUACUGGGCGUAAAGCGUGCGUAGGUGGUGGUUUAAGUCCGUUGUGAAAGCCCUGGGCUCAACCUGGGAAUUGCAGUGGAUACUGGGUCACUAGAGUGUGGUAGAGGAUAGUGGAAUUUCCGGUGUAGCGGUGAAAUGCGUAGAGAUCGGAAGGAACAUCUGUGGCGAAGGCGACUAUCUGGGCCAACACUGACACUGAGGCACGAAAGCGUAGGGAGCAAACAGGAUUAGAUACCCCAGUAGUCCCUGUCUCUUAUAC